UAACGCGUGAGGAACCUGCCUUUCAGAGGGGGACAACAGCUGGGAAACGGCUGCUAAUACCGCAUAACAUAUAGGUAUCGCAUGGUGCCUAUAUCAAAGAUUUAUCGCUGAAAGAUGGCCUCGCGUCUGAUUAGCUAGUUGGUAGGGUAACGGCCUACCAAGGCGACGAUCAGUAGCCGGACUGAGAGGUUGGCCGGCCACAUUGGGACUGAGAUACGGCCCAGACUCCUACGGAAGGCAGCAG
Molecule: ribosomal RNA, 244 nt
Filed under: uncultured bacterium
Lineage: Bacteria
Description: partial 16S ribosomal RNA
Rfam family: Bacterial small subunit ribosomal RNA
Source: RNAcentral